Molecule: ribosomal RNA, 495 nt
Filed under: uncultured bacterium
Lineage: Bacteria
Description: bacterial SSU rRNA
Rfam family: Bacterial small subunit ribosomal RNA
Source: RNAcentral
GAUGAACGCUAGCUAUAGGCUUAACACAUGCAAGUCGAGGGGCAGCGCAGUGUAGCAAUACAUGGGCGGCGACCGGCGCACGGGUGCGUAACGCGUAUCCAACCUUCCCGUUACUCUCGGAUAGCCUUCCGAAAGGGAGAUUAAUACGAGAUGGUGUUGAAAUUCCGCAUGUUAUUUCAACUAAAGAUUCAUCGGUAAUGGAUGGGGAUGCGUGACAUUAGGUAGAUGGCGGGGUAACGGCCCACCAUGCCCACGAUGUCUAGGGGUUCUGAGAGGAAGGUCCCCCACACUGGAACUGAGACACGGUCCAGACUCCUACGGGAGGCAGCAGUGAGGAAUAUUGGUCAAUGGUCGGAAGACUGAACCAGCCAAGUAGCGUGAAGGAUGAAGGUUCUAUGGAUUGUAAACUUCUUUUAUACGGGAAUAAAACCUCCCACGUGUGGGAGCUUGUAUGUACCGUAUGAAUAAGCAUCGGCUAACUCCGUGCCAGCAGCC